Molecule: ribosomal RNA, 460 nt
Filed under: uncultured bacterium
Lineage: Bacteria
Description: partial 16S ribosomal RNA
Rfam family: Bacterial small subunit ribosomal RNA
Source: RNAcentral
CCUACGGGUGGCUGCAGUGAGGAAUAUUGGUCAAUGGACGAGAGUCUGAACCAGCCAAGUAGCGUGAAGGAUGACUGCCCUAUGGGUUGUAAACUUCUUUUAUAUGGGAAUAAAAUGUUCCACGUGUGGGAUUUUGUAUGUACCAUAUGAAUAAGGAUCGGCUAACUUCGUGCCAGCAGCCGCGGUACUACGGAGGAUCCGAGCGUUAUCCGGAUUUAAUGGGGGUAACGGGAGCGUAGGUGGAUUGUUAAGUCAGUUGUGAAAGUUUGAGGCUCAACCGUAAAAUUGCAGUUGAAACUGGCAGUCUUGAGUACAGUAGAGGUGGGCAGAAUUCGUGGUGUAGCGGUGAAAUGCUUAGAGAUCACGAAGAACACCGAUUGCGAAGGCAGCUCACUGGACUGCAACUGACACUGAGGCGCGAAAGUGUGGGUAUCAAACAGGAUUAGAUACCCCUGUAGUC